Molecule: non-coding RNA, 22 nt
Filed under: Arabidopsis thaliana (thale cress)
Lineage: Eukaryota; Viridiplantae; Streptophyta; Magnoliopsida; Brassicales; Brassicaceae
Source: RNAcentral
AGAUGAAGUUUUGAAAGUGUCU